RNAcentral lists this small RNA (1023 nucleotides) under uncultured fungus. Its description in RNAcentral is "eukaryotic LSU rRNA". The stretch from base 589 to 1023 matches the Rfam family "Eukaryotic large subunit ribosomal RNA", at positions 1 to 429 of the family's 3401-position model. The record is from RNAcentral. Lineage: Eukaryota; Fungi.
UCCGUAGGUGAACCUGCGGAAGGAUCAUUAGUGAAUUGAAUAUGUUAGCGGACCUCUUCGGAGUCCCUAGCAUCAAAUCAUAUCCAUAACACCUGUGAACUGUAAGGCUGUCUUGAAAACGAAAGUGAUUAGAGCGCCUGCCCAUUUUAUACAAACAUUAAAGUAACAAACGUAGUCUUAUUAUAAUCUAAUAAAACUUUCAACAACGGAUCUCUUGGCUCUCGCAUCGAUGAAGAACGCAGCGAAAUGCGAUAAGUAAUGUGAAUUGCAGAAUUCAGUGAAUCAUCGAAUCUUUGAACGCACCUUGCGCUCUUUGGUAUUCCGAAGAGCAUGCCUGUUUGAGUGUCAUGAAAAUAUCAACCUUGACUUGGGUUUAGUGCUCUUGUCUUGGCUUGGAUUUGGCUGUUUGCCGCUCGAAAGAGUCGGCUCAGCUUAAAAGUAUUAGCUGGAUCUGUCUUUGAGACUUGGUUUGACUUGGCGUAAUAAGUUAUUUCGCUGAGGACAAUCUUCGGAUUGGCCGAGUUUCUGGGACGUUUGUCCGCUUUCUAAUACAAGUUCUAGCUUGCUAGACAUGACUUUUUUAUUAUCUGGCCUCAAAUCAGGUAGGACUACCCGCUGAACUUAAGCAUAUCAAUAAGCGGAGGAAAAGAAACUAACAAGGAUUCCCCUAGUAACGGCGAGUGAAGCGGGAAGAGCUCAAAUUUGAAAUCUGGUGGCCUCAGGCUAUCCGAGUUGUAAUCUAUAGAAACAUUUUCCGCGUUGGCCCAUGUACAAGUCUCUUGGAAUAGAGCGUCAUAGAGGGUGAGAAUCCCGUCCUUGACAUGGACUACCAGUGCUUUGUGAUAUGUUUUCAACGAGUCGAGUUGUUUGGGAAUGCAGCUCAAAAUGGGUGGUAAAUUCCAUCUAAAGCUAAAUAUUGGCGAGAGACCGAUAGCGAACAAGUACCGUGAGGGAAAGAUGAAAAGCACUUUGGAAAGAGAGUUAAACAGUAUGUGAAAUUGUUGAAAGGGAAACGCUUGAAGU